ACGAUGCAUGGUGUAUAUCUUUCCUUCUCGAUCUCGCCCUUGCAAAUUUUUUACACUUUGUCCUUCCAAGUUCCAACCGCCUUCACCAUCAUUAUCAUCGAUGGUCACCACCGAUCAUUUGCUGGGGAGGAUCUGGUCCGAGAGCAAUGGCCAUUGCAUCGUUCAUGGGUGUGCAAGUUGCCAUCGGUUUUGACUUUGGUUGGUCCGGUCUUUGCUCGGUGAAUUUUGUCCGGUUCUUGUUGACUCGCCCUUGGGAUGCCAUGAUUAAUUAGCAACUACUACUAUCAACAGCUUCCGUUUGUCUGGUAAGUAACAUGGAUAUCAUGAUGUAAAAAAAGGCAAAAAUAGAAAAGAAAAGAUGGUGUGGUGGGGACGAUUUCAGAAACGAAAUUGGAGGGCUCUUCAGUUUCCACCGUUUAUCGCCACCAAUCCGCGUUCUAAUGUCUGUCGUCGAAGCCCAAAGAGGGCACGUCGUACGUUCCGGCAAGAAAGGAAGCAAGCGGCCCUUCUGUAACGAGCUGGGCCGAAGUCGAGACGCAAACAGAUGGGCUUUCGCACCUCCUAUGGGCCGGCGCAACGAAAGCUUCCUUUUUGAUUUCGGUUUAUGGCUCAAUGUACGAUGGAUUUCCUUUUGAUUUCGGUUUAUGGACCAGCGUAUGUAUGUAUGUAUGGAUGUAUGUAUGUAUGUAU
Brachypodium distachyon (stiff brome) is the source of this 690-nucleotide long non-coding RNA. RefSeq lists it as uncharacterized. Lineage: Eukaryota; Viridiplantae; Streptophyta; Magnoliopsida; Poales; Poaceae. The record is from RefSeq and is a predicted model, not a curated record. The transcript has 3 exons.